GACGAACGCUGGCGGCGUGCUUAACACAUGCAAGUCGAACGGUGAAGCGCCUUCCUUUUUGGUGGGUGUGGAUGAGUGGCGAACGGGUGAGUAACACGUGAGUAACCUGCCCCCUUCUUCUGGAUAACCGCAUGAAAGUGUGGCUAAUACGGGAUAUUCUGGGUCUGUCGCAUGAUGGGUCUGGGAAAGAUAUUGUUUCGGUGGGGGAUGGGCUCGCGGCCUAUCAGCUUGUUGGUGGGGUGAUGGCCUACCAAGGCGGUGACGGGUAGCCGGCCUGAGAGGGUGGACGUCACACUGGGACUGAGACACGGCCCAGACUCCUACGGGAGGCAGCAGUGGGGAAUAUUGCACAAUGGGCGCAAGCCUGAUGCAGCGACGCCGCGUGAGGGAUGGAGGCCUUCGGGUUGUGAACCUCUUUCGCCAGUGAAGCAGGCCUGCCUCGUUUGUGGGUGGGUUGACGGUAGCUGGAUAAGAAGCGCCGGCUAACUACGUG
RNAcentral lists this ribosomal RNA (493 nucleotides) under uncultured bacterium. RNAcentral describes it as "partial 16S ribosomal RNA". It matches the Rfam family "Bacterial small subunit ribosomal RNA", at positions 28 to 507 of the family's 1533-position model. The record is from RNAcentral.